RNAcentral lists this transfer-messenger RNA (381 nucleotides) under bacterium. It matches the Rfam family "transfer-messenger RNA". From Rfam's summary of the family: Bacterial tmRNA, also known as 10Sa RNA or SsrA, is named for its dual tRNA and mRNA-like properties. Its role is to liberate the mRNA from a stalled ribosome. To accomplish this part of the tmRNA is used as a reading frame that ends in a translation stop signal. The record is from RNAcentral.
GGGGAUGAUCGGCUUUGAAAGAAGAAUAAAUUUUUUAUCGGCAGGCAGAGGAUGAACGGUUACCUCUUUAAUCAACUGUUCAAAACACAAAUGCAGAACAAACUGCUUAUGUUCCGGCUUACGCUCUUGCGUACGCUUAGGGACAAGAAUUUCGCCUAAGCGCGAAAACCGCCCUUGCCUUGAUGUCUCAUAGAGAUAAAGGGUGUAAUAUAUGAGACUUGGUUUCGUCUUUCUCCGAAGCGAAGCGACACAAAAGGAGAAAAACUUCCGCGUAUUUUGCUCGGUUCUCGAGCGCGGAAUUACAAAAAUAACCGAGACAAGCCCGUAGAUGAUAUCAAGUUUUUCUUUUUCACGUGGGUUCGAUUCCCGCCAUCUCCACUC